CAGCAGCCACGGGAAUACAGAGGGUGCAAGCGUUAAUCGGAAUUACUGGGCGUAAAGCGCGCGUAGGUGGUUUGUUAAGUUGGAUGUGAAAUCCCCGGGCUCAACCUGGGAACUGCAUCCAAAACUGGCAAGCUAGAGUAUGGUAGAGGGUGGUGGAAUUUCCUGUGUAGCGGUGAAAUGCGUAGAUAUAGGAAGGAACACCAGUGGCGAAGUCGACCACCUGGACUGAUACUGACACUGAGGUGCGAAAGCGUGGGGAGCAAACAGGAUUAGAUACCCCUGUAGUCCCUGUCUCUUAUAA
RNAcentral lists this ribosomal RNA (301 nucleotides) under uncultured bacterium. Its description in RNAcentral is "partial 16S ribosomal RNA". It matches the Rfam family "Bacterial small subunit ribosomal RNA", at positions 509 to 809 of the family's 1533-position model. The record is from RNAcentral.